Molecule: ribosomal RNA, 171 nt
Filed under: uncultured Anaerolineaceae bacterium
Lineage: Bacteria; Bacillati; Chloroflexota; Anaerolineae; Anaerolineales; Anaerolineaceae
Description: partial 16S ribosomal RNA
Rfam family: Bacterial small subunit ribosomal RNA
Source: RNAcentral
CUACACACACGCUACAAUGGGAAGGGACAAUAGGUUGCGAAGCCGCGAGGCGGAGCCAAUCCAGCAAAACUUCCCUCAGUUCAGAUUGCAGGCUGCAACUCGCCUGCAUGAAGUUGGAGUUGCUAGUAAACGCAGGUCAGCCAUACUGCGUUGAAUACGUUCCCGGGGCUU